GAAGCUGUUUUACAAUUUUGUAUAUCAGCUUGUCUAAGGUGAAGAGAAGAUAUGACUGAGCCCCAAUAAUAGCUCGGCAGUCAUCCUCGAACUUUGCAUUGUCAGAGGAACCAUCAAGUAGGUUAUAAAGUGCACUCCUGAAUCUGGAAUAUGAUUCAGUGGGGUUGAUUGCAUUCGAGACUCUCCAUCUGUGUUCAGCUGAUGAAGAAUGUGAUUUUGCUUUCUGUAGUCUUUCAUACAAUGUCUGGUGAAGUCUGAACAGCACAUAAAAUGAAUCAUUUCCAUAAAAUAUACGUGAUUCCUUCUCCCUGACAUGAAAUAUAGAAGGAACGUGCUUGGUUAGAGGCCUGGAUGUAUGUAGAAGGCGUUCUGAAAAUGGCAUAACAGCACCAUCUCCUUCAGCAUCAUGGGCAUCAGCAGUACCUUCCACCUCUCCUUCACUCUCUACCUUGUUAUCAUUCACAUCAUUGUCCCCAUCUUCUUCACGCUCUUCAUGAGAACCUUCUCCAUUAGCAGACUCACUACCUGAAACAUCACAAUUCUCAGAAGCAUUCUCACUGUCCUCUGAUGUCCCAUGAGCACUCGCUUCGCCUUCUUCAUCAGCAUCAUUCUCACAUCCUCUGUCUCCACCGCAAUUUUUUUCUUCUCCAUGUCCACUUUGGUAUAGCUUACUACUUGAACUUCCCUUUAAACUAUGCGAUACAUUUUGACCACCUUCACUCGAUGGUGUAAAAUUAUCCUCAAAAUCACCAUUUGGAGUUAAUUCACCCUCUUCUCGCUCAAGUUUACAUUUUCCUACGGAUUCCUCAAGACAUUUCUCAACUUUGAUACCUUCUGCCUUUGGGUCCACGAACCCUCCGUCCUUUGAGUCAUUAGAUGAUACUAUCUCAGGUUCACGUUUGAUUGUGGAACCACUAGGUCUGGAAGUGCCUGCACCAUGCCCUGAAGCAGUUUCUAUACAGACUCUUCCAUGGCUUUCCCCCACAGUAGUGCUGUUUGAAAGCACUAGCGGGUCAGCACAAAAAGCCUCUCUGCUGAGGCCAGAUGCCCCAUCUGCCAUGUUUAGAUUAGCGUCUGAUUUUCCAUGAUGAAGGAGGUUCUUCGAAGUUGCGAUUUUCAGCAUUACACCAUUUACAUUAGGAGAGCUAUCAUCCUUGAACCCAUUUUCACCAUCUGCUAUCUGAACUCUGGAAGAAAUUACAUGCUCAGAUGUAGGCAGUUCAUCUCCAUUCCUGGAACUGCUUUGUCUGCAAUUCAUGCCCGAGCCACUGGCAGGGCUACCAACCUUUUUCCCUUCAAUUGCUGUUUUAUCUUUAGCAUUAAGAUUUUUAGCCUUUUCAACAUCUACACCAUCCACUUCACCCUGAGGCGGACGAAGAACACCAAAUAUUGGUUCCAGGAAGGUGGUCCAAAUCUUCAUGACUUUAUCCAACUGUUCUCUUGUACAAACUUCUAUACAUGAAUACUUGAUGAUUUGAUAAAGGUCUUCGUGGAUGUCAGAAUCAGGAUACUCGAACUCCAGAUGUGUGAUAAUUGGUUGCCCAUUUCCAGCAGCAACAGAUAGCAGCACAUCAUCUUCUUUGCACUUAUUUUCACUAAUUUCUUUGAUCUCAGCCAGCAGUGCUUUAGUGCUCAAGCUUUUUGUGUCCUGCUGCUUGAAAUAAAAGCUACGAUGAUCCAGUGAUUUGUGAUAGUUCUUAGCAUAAAUCUCAGCCCAAACUUUAUUAAAAUCAGAACGACACCUCGCCCACUCCUCUUGUUUCUGCUUUAAGCGAGUAAGUAUAACUGGAAGGGCAAGUGGUGCAUUCUUCCUCAACACAU
RNAcentral lists this unclassified non-coding RNA (1821 nucleotides) under Hevea brasiliensis (rubber tree). The record is from RNAcentral. Lineage: Eukaryota; Viridiplantae; Streptophyta; Magnoliopsida; Malpighiales; Euphorbiaceae.